CCUACGGGGGGCAGCAGUGAGGAAUAUUGGUCAAUGGACGCAAGUCUGAACCAGCCAAGUAGCGUGCAGGAUGACGGCCCUCCGGGUUGUAAACUGCUUUUAGUUGGGAAUAAAAGGGGGCUCGUGAGCCCCGUAUUGUAUGUACCAUCAGAAAAAGGACCGGCUAAUUCCGUGCCAGCAGCCGCGGUAAUACGGAAGGUCCGGGCGUUAUCCGGAAUGAUUGGGCGUAAAGGGUGUGUAGGCGGCCUGCUAAGUCUGGAGUGAAAGUUACCGGCUCAACCGGUACAGGCUCUGGAAACUGGCGG
RNAcentral lists this ribosomal RNA (305 nucleotides) under uncultured bacterium. RNAcentral describes it as "bacterial SSU rRNA". It matches the Rfam family "Bacterial small subunit ribosomal RNA", at positions 338 to 639 of the family's 1533-position model. The record is from RNAcentral.